AUUUAGAGUGCCUCUCUGGAAGGGAAAACAUCAAGUUACACUCCAUAAUUUACGGCCUCUCACAGAAGCAAACGGGGUAUACCAGUAGCAGAGGUUCUGACCCUGCAUUCUGGCUGCACCUUUCCCUGCAAGAGAGACCUGCUACAGAGUCUAUGGGCCUGUAUGCAAAGAGCUGGCCUUGUGAGCCCCAAUUGUCUUUUUAAGACAGUGCAGGGAAAGGAAUCAAUACCUACCUGAAGAAAGGAGUGAGGCAGAGGGGACGCUACCUGCCUGGAAGCCCACUAGGACCAGCCCAGCUGGGGGAGAUACUGCCGCUGGCUUGACCCCGGUCUCAGCAACGAUAGCCCUGGUCUCACUAUUUGGAGGCAGAGGGAUCUAUUCCUGCCAAGAAGCAGCCAGGCAGAGGGAUUUGUUCCUGCCUAGAAGCAUACAGGUAUAGGGGACGAUACCUGCCAGGAAAAAGCUGCAGGGCAGAGAAGAUGCUACCUGACUGGAAUCCCACUGAGACCAGCCCAGCUGGGGGAGAUACAGCCGCUGGCUUGACCCCGGUCUCAGCAACUAUAUCUCUGGUCCCAUUAUCCAUCCCUGGGUUUGGACAGAGGAAGGGAGAUCCCUAGCGGAGUACCGCUACAAUAUAUAUAUAUCUUGUGAUGUGAGUCAUCAAGGUCUGAGGGCCUGUUUUGGAACAUUCUUUGGGCAGGAGGUACAUGGGCUUAAAGAUACCCAGAGACUGCAUGGAAAUGUGGAAUUUUAUAUGCUGGACACCCCAUGUACCCUGUAUCCAUAAAUACAGGAUGGGUACAGGGUGUGAGUGCACCUUUUGGGAGCAAUUGUGACUCUAUAAACCAAGUGGGCAUAAAAGACUUUAUAGCUAAUAAGAACUGUUCCUAUAUUCUGUAAUAAGAUGUAUUCUAUGUAUGUUUCAGAUCUGAUUGUGUCUCAGGAGUCUGUCUGGGUAAACUGAUUGUGUCCUUGUGUGAUUAUGUUAUCUAGACUGCCCAACAUCAGAUUGUCUGAGUAAACGUUCUUCCCUAGUUAAUUAACUUAAUAUGUUAAUCUGUUUUACCUGUGAAUAGACAAUUGUUAGAGGUUUGAUGUAUUGUUCAUAUGUUUGCUUUACUGUUUAACCAAUGCCCUCUGUAACCUGAAGCUCUGUGACUCUGGAAUGCCAGGGUGUAUAAAUCUGUGUGCUGCUUUUAAAUAAAGUGUUCAUUUUGUGUUCAGACAA
Long non-coding RNA from Bombina bombina (fire-bellied toad), 1228 nucleotides. RefSeq lists it as uncharacterized. The transcript is spliced from 2 exons. The record is from RefSeq and is a predicted model, not a curated record. NCBI's taxonomy places the organism in Eukaryota, Metazoa, Chordata, Amphibia, Anura, Bombinatoridae.